GACGAACGCUGGCGGCGUGCUUAACACAUGCAAGUCGAACGGAAAGGCCCUGCUUUUGUGGGGUGCUCGAGUGGCGAACGGGUGAGUAACACGUGAGUAACCUGCCCUUGACUUUGGGAUAACUUCAGGAAACUGGGGCUAAUACCGGAUAGGAGCUCCUGCUGCAUGGUGGGGGUUGGAAAGUUUCGGCGGUUGGGGAUGGACUCGCGGCUUAUCAGCUUGUUGGUGGGGUAGUGGCUUACCAAGGCUUUGACGGGUAGCCGGCCUGAGAGGGUGACCGGCCACAUUGGGACUGAGAGACGGACCAGACUCCUACGGGAGGCAGCAGUGGGGAAUAUUGCACAAUGGGCGGAAGCCUGAGGCAGCAACGCCGCGUGCGGGAUGACGGCCUUCGGGUUGUAAACCGCUUUCGCCUGUGACGAAGCGUGAGUGACGGUAAUGGGUAAAGAAGCACCGGCUAACUACGUG
This 468-nucleotide ribosomal RNA is filed under the name uncultured bacterium. RNAcentral describes it as "partial 16S ribosomal RNA". It matches the Rfam family "Bacterial small subunit ribosomal RNA", at positions 28 to 507 of the family's 1533-position model. The record is from RNAcentral.